RNAcentral lists this ribosomal RNA (520 nucleotides) under uncultured Glomus. RNAcentral's name for it is "SSU rRNA". It matches the Rfam family "Eukaryotic small subunit ribosomal RNA", at positions 569 to 1092 of the family's 1831-position model. Lineage: Eukaryota; Fungi; Glomeromycota; Glomeromycetes; Glomerales; Glomeraceae. RNAcentral also lists the same sequence under 1 other name. The record is from RNAcentral.
AGCAGCCGCGGUAAUUCCAGCUCCAAUAGCGUAUAUUAAAGUUGUUGCAGUUAAAAAGCUCGUAGUUGAAUUUCGGGAUCAAUACGUCGGUCGUGCUUCGGUACGUACUGGCGUCAUUGAUUUCUCCCUUCUGACGAACCAUGAUGUCAUUAACUUGGUGUCUUGGGAAAUCAGGACUGUUACUUUGAAAAAAUUAGAGUGUUUAAAGCAGGCUCACGCUUGAAUACAUUAGCAUGGAAUAAUGAAAUAGGACGUUCGAUCCUAUUUUGUUGGUUUUAGGAUCAACGUAAUGAUUAAUAGGGAUAGUUGGGGGCAUUAGUAUUCAAUUGUCAGAGGUGAAAUUCUUGGAUUUAUUGAAGACUAACUACUGCGAAAGCAUUUGCCAAGGAUGUUUUCAUUAAUCAAGAACGAAAGUUAGGGGAUCGAAGACGAUCAGAUACCGUCGUAGUCUUAACCAUAAACUAUGCCGACUAGGGAUCGGAUGAUGUUAAUUUUUUAAUGACUCAUUCGGCGCCUUACG